GUGAAGACCAGGAGACUUCGGGUUGUAUCUUCAGCAGGAUUCUUUUAUUGAGAACACAAGCUGUCGGUAGCUGUAGUCAUCGAAAAUCUAAAUCUAAAGCAGUGAUACAUUGUAGUUUAUAUACAUUUAGGGGGCAGUGCUUAGGAGUGAAAACAAAGCACCUGGGUGACGACCUUUAAGCAUGCAAAUGAGGUAUUCAGGUAUAGAAUCCUGCCCCAUUUAACCACUCCUAAUCUAAUCAGCCUAACUGCCCAAAGAUUGGGGCAGGGGCAUCAAGAGCAAUUACAAACAAAAGGCAAGAGUCUCCGUCGUCUGGCUCAUUAGACUUACAAUAAGAGAACAGGAACUGGCAGGGACCUCUUGAAUCGUUCAUCUGAUGUCAUCAUCUUCACCAUAAAUGCUAAAUACAAUGUAUAUAACUUCUUCAGUUUGUACACUAUUACAUUGGAAUCUAAAUUAAACAUUUAAAUAAAUUUGUAAUCCCACAUAUGUUACGCCAUUAACUAUGGAAGCCCGUUCCCGCCACCUUGAGAAAAAAUAUAAUUCUGUAAGUCAUAAUAAUGAGAUAAUUAUGACUUUGUUUCUCAUUAUAUUCAGAAAAUUUCUCGUGAUAAUGACUUAGUUUUUCAUAAUAAUGACUUAGUUUCUCGUAAUAAUGAGAAACGUUCUCGAAAUAAUGAGAAACUUUCUCAUAAUAAUGACUUAGUUUCUCGUAAUAAUAACUUAGUUUCUCGUAAUAAUGAGAAACUUUCUCGAAAUAAUGAGAAACUUUCUCGUAAUUGUCACAAAGCAAGGCCAGAGACAACAGGUAAGUGACAAACAGGAUGGUUUAUUGAAGGGGAAUUGGGAAACUGGAAUGGGAGAGGCAAAAGUCAGGUGAGUGAGCAAAACUGUGUAGGAUUCAGAGUGCUUAGCUGUGAUCGUGCUGACGUGUUUCUUUUGUAGGUUGGUGGGGGAUCUUGUAGCAUGAACAACAGGAUUCGUAGGAGGAUCGGCUGAGAGAGUCCAAGGGAAAGUAUUCCAGGUGGCGGAACGGGGCUUCCAUAAUUAACUCCAAACGUUCACUGAAUCGAGACACGCUGUGCUGAGAGAGCUGAUGAAUACGAACAGCUGAUACUGAGAAUGAGUGUUCUACCGCCGAGGUUCUCGGAUCUCCAGUACACUGUGAAUUUGGCGAAAUUUUGACUUUUUAGCAGGAUCAGUACAGUCAGUGCAAGCAGAGUGGAAGCACAACUCCAUAUCGAUGAGGCAAGAUUUGUAGAUUUUCCUCGCCCAACCAACCAGCAUACCCUAAUCACACACUACAAGCUGAAACACUGC
Onychostoma macrolepis is the source of this 1320-nucleotide long non-coding RNA. RefSeq lists it as uncharacterized. The record is from RefSeq and is a predicted model, not a curated record. The transcript has 3 exons. NCBI's taxonomy places the organism in Eukaryota, Metazoa, Chordata, Actinopteri, Cypriniformes, Cyprinidae.